Drosophila persimilis is the source of this 209-nucleotide long non-coding RNA. RefSeq lists it as uncharacterized. NCBI's taxonomy places the organism in Eukaryota, Metazoa, Arthropoda, Insecta, Diptera, Drosophilidae. The record is from RefSeq and is a predicted model, not a curated record. The transcript has 2 exons.
CCGCAAUUCUCUAUUGAUGGCACUGCCUGAAAAUUAUUCUUCUUCACCCGAGGCUAUCCGAAUGUAAAUUGAGUGGAAGAUAUAAUUGUGCUGCUACUGGAACCGUGGUACAAAAGGACUUUCCACAUGGAGGCAAUCCAGAGUCUGUUUGUACAGAGUUUUAUAUACAUAUUUCUCACAUUUGUUCAAUUAAAAUUGAUGACCAAAGA